Non-coding RNA from Phascolarctos cinereus (koala), 586 nucleotides. Lineage: Eukaryota; Metazoa; Chordata; Mammalia; Diprotodontia; Phascolarctidae. The record is from RefSeq and is a predicted model, not a curated record.
UAGUUGAGAAAACUGAGCUUGAGAGAAGUUUAGCAGCUUGUUCGUACUGGGGCAGAGCAAUGCAUCUCUGGCAAUGCUCCAAGAUUGUAAACUACGUAUGAGUUGCUGAUCUUCCUCAGUGGAAGGAGUUUCAACAUGAGGAAAUUCCCUACAACUGUGAAAUAAGAGGUUCUCAUGGGACAGCCUCCUGCUUGAUCUUCUUUUCUUCAGUCUACUCUUGUUCCAGACAUCUUCCAAGUGGCAUAUCUAUGCUCCAGAACCUUCAUUGACUCCCUAUUGCCUUCUCAGUGGGAUGGUACUGGAUCUGUGAUUUCAUUGGUAUGGAAACUCUUGAUGAAGAAGCUUCUUCUGUUGAGGAAUAUUGGUAUGUUCUCUGCAUUUUAUACUAAGUGAAGUGAUCUACGGUCAAACACAGCUGGUAUGUGUGAGAUAUAGAACUUUGACCCAGCUCUGAGGACUACUCUAUGUUGAUUGCCUCAAUCUGCUGCUGAAUAAAGCAUACAUUUCUGACCCUGCCAUUCAAGACCCUUUGUAAUCUGGUUUCAAUCUACCUCUCAAAUCGAGGGAGCUGGUGGCAUAGUGAAUC